UACGUAGGGUGCGAGCGUUAAUCGGAAUUACUGGGCGUAAAGCGUGCGCAGGCGGUGUUGGAAGACAGAUGUGAAAUCCCCGGGCUUAACCUGGGACCUGCAUUUGUGACUGCAUCGCUAGAGUACGGCAGAGGGGGAUGGAAUUCCGCGUGUAGCAGUGAAAUGCGUAGAUAUGCGGAGGAACACCGAUGGCGAAGGCAAUCCCCUGGGCCUGUACUGACGCUCAUGCACGAAAGCGUGGGGAGCAAACAGG
RNAcentral lists this ribosomal RNA (253 nucleotides) under uncultured bacterium. RNAcentral's name for it is "partial 16S ribosomal RNA". It matches the Rfam family "Bacterial small subunit ribosomal RNA", at positions 524 to 776 of the family's 1533-position model. The record is from RNAcentral.